ACGCUCGACACCUAGAGGCAGCAGUGGGGAAUAUUGCACAAUGGGGGGAAACCCUGAUGCAGCGACGCCGCGUGAGUGAAGAAGUAAUUCGUUAUGUAAAGCUCUAUCAGCAGGGAAGAAAGUGACGGUACCUGAGUAAGAAGCCCCGGCUAACUACGUGCUAGCAGCCGCGGUAAUCUGAGGCGGGCUGGCAAGGC
Molecule: ribosomal RNA, 197 nt
Filed under: uncultured bacterium
Lineage: Bacteria
Description: partial 16S ribosomal RNA
Rfam family: Bacterial small subunit ribosomal RNA
Source: RNAcentral